AAGGAAAAGCAACCAACAUUCGCGACUCUCCGUAGCACGCGCAUCGACAGCGGACCACGAGUGGCAUCCAGACGUACCCACCGCUUGCUGCGACAUCUGUGCGUCAAACACCCUAGAGUGCCAUCCUCAUACCCGACUUCCCGUACAGUCAGGCAUACCCACUGUGUCUCAGUCAUGGCAACCAACGGCAAUCGGCACGCCUCCGAUGCUGGGGCCGCAGAGGGACACCCGUUCCUCGGUCGCGAGCUGCGCGUUGAGCUGACGGACGGCCGCGUCAUCGUCGGUACCCUCAUCGCCUACGAGGGCAGUGGUGACUUGCUGCUGCAGGCUGCUGUCGAGCAGCGCAUGUACAAAGACGGCGAAGUCACCAUGCGCGGGCUGAAUCUGCUCGCUAUCCCCUUUAAGCACGUGAAGGGACUGCAUCGCCGUCGGCCGGGUCUGGGGCCGAUCGUGCUCACCAGCGGCGAGGCAGAGAGGGAGACGCCGGCGUUGAUGGUGUAAGGAACGUAGCAAGUGGUGCAUGGAUCAAGCAAGGCGGAACCGGGAGAAGGGGAGAAAGGCGAUGAAUGGGUGAAUGGUCGGGAACACAGCAGUCGACUCUCAGUACGUCGACAGAUCGUUCCUUGUCACGUGAGUUUUCUACAGACACCCCCCCCCUCUUGCCUCCCCCUCGCUCUCUCUCCCUCCGUGUGUGCCUGUCUCUGCCUCUUCCCUUUUCUCUCGCUCGUCCUCUGCUGCUGCUUUGCUAACAUUAUGGCCAUCGUCGCGCCAGCGUGUCCUCUCUGUCGUCCCCUCCCCCUCCCCGUUAACUUCGCUUCGUCUUGGGUGGCCGUCGUUGUGAGUGGCAGCUCACUGACACAUACGCGCGUAUGCAUCAGAUACACACACGCACACACACACACACACUUACUCUAUCUCCCUCUCGCUGAUCUUCCCCCAUUCCCACCCCAUCCCCAUUUUUCCGUGGGCCUGACUGUCGUUGUUGUGCGUCGUCGUUUAGUUUGUGUGUCUUGGUCGGAGGCGUGGUGGUGAUGUUGGGGGGGGGGGGGCUGCAUAAUUAACGUCUCUAUUCUUCUCACCCUUCUUCGGUUCUUUCGGAACUCGCACUCUUCUCGUGUGGGUGUCGCUUCGUGUUCUUUUUUUUUCGGAGCGAGGAAGGGCCUCUCGUAGUGUUGUGGUGCACACGGAGGUGGCGACGCAGAUGCAGAGAGGGCGAUGUGGAGCUGGCAAGGCAUCUGCUCCGCUUUUCGUCUUUAUCGUUUCUCGCCACUCCGGUGUCUCUUGCUGCGCGGUGCCCCAACGCGCAUGUCGACGCGUGCCUGAUUCUGUACGAGUGCUUAAGGAGUGCCUCCCUGCAGACACCCAGGAAGGUACCGGCUGUGAAAAAAAGAGCGACAAC
RNAcentral lists this unclassified non-coding RNA (1399 nucleotides) under Leishmania donovani. Its description in RNAcentral is "gene:LdHU3.16.1720(CDS-product:hypothetical_prote in_conserved)". Lineage: Eukaryota; Euglenozoa; Kinetoplastea; Trypanosomatida; Trypanosomatidae. The record is from RNAcentral.